Molecule: ribosomal RNA, 551 nt
Filed under: Plethodontohyla inguinalis (Boulenger's digging frog)
Lineage: Eukaryota; Metazoa; Chordata; Amphibia; Anura; Microhylidae
Description: partial small subunit ribosomal RNA
Rfam family: Bacterial large subunit ribosomal RNA
Source: RNAcentral
GAUAACUAUAAGAGGUCCAGCCUGCCCAGUGACUAAAAGUUAAACGGCCGCGGUACCCUAACCGUGCAAAGGUAGCACAAUCACUUGUUCUUUAAAUCAGGACUAGUAUGAACGGCCCCACGAGAGCUAUACUGUCUCCCCCCCUUAAUCAGUGAAACUGAUCUCCCCGUGAAGAAGCGGGGAUAUUCAUAUAAGACGAGAAGACCCCAUGGAGCUUUAAACUUGUACCACUGCCCUAAACCACAUCAAUCAACCGGGCAAAUAAUGGCUACUAGUCUUUCGGCUGGGGCGACCACGGAGAAAAACUAAACCUCCACGAUGAAAGGAACACCCUAAUUAAAGAGCUACAGCUCUAAAAAUCAACAAAUUGACAUAAUUGACCCAAACACCUUGAUCAACGAACCAAGUUACCCUGGGGAUAACAGCGCAAUCCAUUUCAAGAGACCCCAUCGACAAAUGGGCUUACGACCUCGAUGUUGGAUCAGGGUAUCCCAGUGGUGCAGCCGCUACUAAAGGUUCGUUUGUUCAACGAUUAAAACCCUACGUGAUCU